GGAGAAAGCAGGGGAUCGCAAGACCUUGCGCUUUUGGAGCGGCCGAUGCCUGAUUAGCUUGUUGGUGAGGUAAAAGCUCACCAAGGCUCCGAUCAGUAGCUGGUCUGAGAGGACGACCAGCCACACUGGGACUGAGACACGGCCCAGACUCCUACGGGAGGCAGCAGUGGGGAAUUUUGGACAAUGGGGGCAACCCUGAUCCAGCCAUGCCGCGUGAGUGAAGAAGGCCUUCGGGUUGUAAAGCUCUUUCAGCCGGAACGAAACGGUCACGGUUAAUACCCGUGACUACUGACGGUACCGGAAGAAGAAGCACCGGCUAGCUACGUGCCAGCAGCCGCGGUAAUACGUAGGGUGCGAGCGUUAAUCGGAAUUACUGGGCGUAAAGCGUGCGCAGGCGGUUUUGUAAGUCAGAUGUGAAAUCCCCGGGCUUAACCUGGGAACUGCGUUUGAAACUACAAAGCUAG
This 464-nucleotide ribosomal RNA is filed under the name uncultured bacterium. RNAcentral's name for it is "bacterial SSU rRNA". It matches the Rfam family "Bacterial small subunit ribosomal RNA", at positions 199 to 644 of the family's 1533-position model. The record is from RNAcentral.